CACGUGGGUAACCUGCCUGUAAGACUGGGAUAACUCCGGGAAACCGGAGCUAAUACCGGAUAGUUCCUUGAACCGCAUGGUUCAAGGAUGAAAGACGGUUUCGGCUGUCACUUACAGAUGGACCCGCGGCGCAUUAGCUAGUUGGUGGGGUAAUGGCUCACCAAGGCGACGAUGCGUAGCCGACCUGAGAGGGUGAUCGGCCACACUGGGACUGAGACACGGCCCAGACUCCUACGGGAGGCAGCAGUAGGGAAUCUUCCGCAAUGGACGAAAGUCUGACGGAGCAACGCCGCGUGAGUGAUGAAGGUUUUCGGAUCGUAAAGCUCUGUUGUUAGGGAAGAACAAGUGCGAGAGUAACUGCUCGCACCUUGACGGUACCUAACCAGAAAGCCACGGCUAACUACGUGCCAGCAGCCGCGGUAAUACGUAGGUGGCAAGCGUUGUCCGGAAUUAUUGGGCGUAAAGGGCUCGCAGGCGGUUUCUUAAGUCUGAUGUGAAAGCCCCCGGCUCAACCGGGGAGGGUCAUUGGAAACUGGGGAAACUUGAGUGCAAAAAAGGAGAGUGGACUUCCACGUGUAGCGGUGAAAUGCAUAGAGA
RNAcentral lists this ribosomal RNA (597 nucleotides) under Bacillus safensis. Its description in RNAcentral is "bacterial SSU rRNA". It matches the Rfam family "Bacterial small subunit ribosomal RNA", at positions 114 to 696 of the family's 1533-position model. Lineage: Bacteria; Bacillati; Bacillota; Bacilli; Caryophanales; Bacillaceae. The record is from RNAcentral.